CGCGUGAGGAACCUGCCUUUCAGAGGGGGACAACAGUUGGAAACGACUGCUAAUACCGCAUGAUGUAUCGGAGUCGCAUGGCACUGAUACCAAAGAUUUAUCGCUGAAAGAUGGCCUCGCGUCUGAUUAGCUAGUUGGUGAGGUAACGGCCCACCAAGGCGACGAUCAGUAGCCGGACUGAGAGGUUGACCGGCCACAUUGGGACUGAGAUACGGCCCAGACUCCUACGGGAGGCAGCAG
RNAcentral lists this ribosomal RNA (240 nucleotides) under uncultured bacterium. Its description in RNAcentral is "partial 16S ribosomal RNA". It matches the Rfam family "Bacterial small subunit ribosomal RNA", at positions 114 to 354 of the family's 1533-position model. The record is from RNAcentral.